GAUGAAGAACGCAGCGAAAUGCGAUAAGUAAUGUGAAUUGCAGAAUUCAGUGAAUCAUCGAAUCUUUGAACGCACAUUGCGCCCGCCAGUAUUCUGGCGGGCAUGCCUGUUCGAGCGUCAUUUCAACCAUCAAGCCCCAGGCUUGUGUUGGGGACCUGCGGCUGCCGCAGGCCCUGAAAACCAGUGGCGGGCUCGCUAGUCACACCGAGCGUAAUAGCAUACACAUCGCUCAGGGCGUGCUGCGGGUUCCGGCCGUUAAACCCCUUUUUUACCCAAGGUUGACCUCAGAUCAGGUAGGAAGACCCGCUGAACUUAAGCAUAUCAAUAAGCGGAGGA
This 336-nucleotide unclassified non-coding RNA is filed under the name soil metagenome. RNAcentral's name for it is "partial contains 5.8S ribosomal RNA, internal transcribed spacer 2, and large subunit ribosomal RNA". The stretch from base 1 to 120 matches the Rfam family "5.8S ribosomal RNA", at positions 35 to 154 of the family's 154-position model. The record is from RNAcentral.